Molecule: ribosomal RNA, 1521 nt
Filed under: Klebsiella pneumoniae
Lineage: Bacteria; Pseudomonadati; Pseudomonadota; Gammaproteobacteria; Enterobacterales; Enterobacteriaceae
Description: bacterial SSU rRNA
Rfam family: Bacterial small subunit ribosomal RNA
Source: RNAcentral
AGAGUUUGAUCAUGGCUCAGAUUGAACGCUGGCGGCAGGCCUAACACAUGCAAGUCGAGCGGUAGCACAGAGAGCUUGCUCUCGGGUGACGAGCGGCGGACGGGUGAGUAAUGUCUGGGAAACUGCCUGAUGGAGGGGGAUAACUACUGGAAACGGUAGCUAAUACCGCAUAAUGUCGCAAGACCAAAGUGGGGGACCUUCGGGCCUCAUGCCAUCAGAUGUGCCCAGAUGGGAUUAGCUAGUAGGUGGGGUAACGGCUCACCUAGGCGACGAUCCCUAGCUGGUCUGAGAGGAUGACCAGCCACACUGGAACUGAGACACGGUCCAGACUCCUACGGGAGGCAGCAGUGGGGAAUAUUGCACAAUGGGCGCAAGCCUGAUGCAGCCAUGCCGCGUGUGUGAAGAAGGCCUUCGGGUUGUAAAGCACUUUCAGCGGGGAGGAAGGCGNNNNNNNNNNNNCGAUUGACGUUACCCGCAGAAGAAGCACCGGCUAACUCCGUGCCAGCAGCCGCGGUAAUACGGAGGGUGCAAGCGUUAAUCGGAAUUACUGGGCGUAAAGCGCACGCAGGCGGUCUGUCAAGUCGGAUGUGAAAUCCCCGGGCUCAACCUGGGAACUGCAUUCGAAACUGGCAGGCUAGAGUCUUGUAGAGGGGGGUAGAAUUCCAGGUGUAGCGGUGAAAUGCGUAGAGAUCUGGAGGAAUACCGGUGGCGAAGGCGGCCCCCUGGACAAAGACUGACGCUCAGGUGCGAAAGCGUGGGGAGCAAACAGGAUUAGAUACCCUGGUAGUCCACGCCGUAAACGAUGUCGAUUUGGAGGUUGUGCCCUUGAGGCGUGGCUUCCGGAGCUAACGCGUUAAAUCGACCGCCUGGGGAGUACGGCCGCAAGGUUAAAACUCAAAUGAAUUGACGGGGGCCCGCACAAGCGGUGGAGCAUGUGGUUUAAUUCGAUGCAACGCGAAGAACCUUACCUGGUCUUGACAUCCACAGAACUUUCCAGAGAUGGAUUGGUGCCUUCGGGAACUGUGAGACAGGUGCUGCAUGGCUGUCGUCAGCUCGUGUUGUGAAAUGUUGGGUUAAGUCCCGCAACGAGCGCAACCCUUAUCCUUUGUUGCCAGCGGUUCGGCCGGGAACUCAAAGGAGACUGCCAGUGAUAAACUGGAGGAAGGUGGGGAUGACGUCAAGUCAUCAUGGCCCUUACGACCAGGGCUACACACGUGCUACAAUGGCAUAUACAAAGAGAAGCGACCUCGCGAGAGCAAGCGGACCUCAUAAAGUAUGUCGUAGUCCGGAUUGGAGUCUGCAACUCGACUCCAUGAAGUCGGAAUCGCUAGUAAUCGUAGAUCAGAAUGCUACGGUGAAUACGUUCCCGGGCCUUGUACACACCGCCCGUCACACCAUGGGAGUGGGUUGCAAAAGAAGUAGGUAGCUUAACCUUCGGGAGGGCGCUUACCACUUUGUGAUUCAUGACUGGGGUGAAGUCGUAACAAGGUAACCGUAGGGGAACCUGCGGUUGGAUCACCU